Osmia lignaria (orchard mason bee) is the source of this 5928-nucleotide RNA transcript. It is a transcript of the gene named dual oxidase, with no coding region annotated. NCBI's taxonomy places the organism in Eukaryota, Metazoa, Arthropoda, Insecta, Hymenoptera, Megachilidae. The record is from RefSeq and is a predicted model, not a curated record.
AAUCGCCAUUGCUGAUUCGUGCCAAGGGCGAUAAAAAUUGCCCGGUAGCGAUCUCUCUGCCGGUUGACUCACCUCCAACUGGAGAACGUCUAAUUCUAUUACCUCAUUAGGGAUAUUCAAAAUUUUCUACUGAUCUUAUAACACUACUAACAUUUUAUAGAAGACUAACAUUGCGAAAGCUGACAAGGUAUCAACGCCUUAACUUGAUUACACUACGUUGCUGUCUAAACUUCGUUAUGCGUGCUGGGAGGAUGAAAGUUUACACAAAUGUUCCCAUGCUGCGAACAAAGAGGACUGUUCUUCAAUUAGUAAGUUUCAGCCUGCAGCAUGGAUAGCCGAAGAAGAGAAUCAGCGACCCGGGUCGCGGGACCCGUCGGGACGUUGUUGGUCGUCAGGCGUCGACCUUGAAACACCAGGUCGGAGAACCGAGAGAGGUUUCGCCUUGGGUAAUCGGUGCCGCGGACUCGAAAACUAGGCCUGCGCCUGCGGUGACGUCGCCGCUACGUCGCGAUGUACGCGAAUAUGAACGAGACACGAAGAGGGACGUUGAGAGGCGGAGGGUAGGUGGAAGGCGAACGGAGGAUGCCGAAGGUGGAACGAGUAAGAGAGAGAAAGGGAUAGAGCGAGGUGCGUUCGCGGUAACGAAACAAAUAGGCCGGCGACUUUCACCGCGUAGCCAAGAACGGCUAUACACGACACAGCCAACAACCGAGCGCUCUUGGCCCAAACCACUCGAGUACGAGUGUAUACCCUCGUUCACCGUUCCCGUGCUUUAACACCGCGCAGGUGGGGGGAAUCCUGCUUGGAGAAGCGGACACGAGGCAUACCCUGAGCAGCGAACGGUCCUCGAUUCUUUUUCUUUCGGCCGUGUCGCACGUGUUGUCUCUGUCCUUUGGCCGGUGCUCCGCUGUUCCGUUCGCCAACGCAUCGUCGAUUCCUUCGCCUCGAUUUUAUUCACCGUGACGAAUUUACGGUCUCUCCUUUGUCACCUUGCGUUAGCCGUGCCGUACCGUGCCGUGGUGCACGCGGAUCCUUUCCUCCAGAAGAGAUCUCGCGACAGUCAAUAUGCGCUCUUGCCAUUGAAUCGCACAUUAUCGGUUUUCGUUGGCCCGCGAGUGAUUAGUGCGAGGACCAAACAAGGAGUUUAUGAAACAUUGAAUUGUAAGAGAGAAAUGCAAGGGUGUGUGUUGGUUCUGUGGUGACGAUGAUCCGACGACGACCACCCAGAGGACAAUCGCCGUUACUCUGCUCCCUCAUCUGGCUACUUUGGAUCGUCCUGCCUGCUGGAACCGGAGUGCUGCACAAUUAUGCGGAUAAACAGAGAUACGACGGAUGGUACAACAAUCUCGCGCAUCCGGAUUGGGGAUCAAUUGACAGCAGGCUGAUACGAAAGAUGCCAGCAGCAUAUUCAGAUGGGGUGUACAUGAUGGCAGGACAGGAUAGACCUUCGCCAAGAAAAUUGAGUCAGUUAUUCAUGCAAGGUGACGACGGUCUUCCUUCGGUCAAGAACAGAACAGCGUUGUUCGCGUUUUUUGGGCAACUGGUCACGUCAGAAAUAAUCAUGGCCAGCGAAAGCGGCUGCCCCAUAGAGUAUCACCGAAUCGACGUGGACAAAUGCGAUCCGGUUUUCGACAAGGAGUGCCAAGGUAACAAGUACAUUCCCUUCCGUCGGGCUGAUUACGAUCGACAAACCGGACGAAGCCCUAAUAGCCCUCGUGAACAGAUAAACAAAGUGACGAGCUGGAUCGACGGUAGCUUCAUUUAUUCGAGCAGCGAGGCAUGGGCGAAUACUAUGAGAUCCUUCAAGAACGGCAGCCUCCUCAUGGAACCAACAAGAAAAUUUCCUGUGAGAAACACGAUGCGCGCUCCGCUUUUUAAUCAUGCGGUGCCACAUGUGAUGAGGAUGCUCAGUCCUGAACGUCUCUAUCUUCUCGGAGAUCCACGAACGAAUCAACAUCCACCGUUGUUGGCAUUGGGAAUACUUUUUUAUCGAUGGCACAAUGUUCUAGCAGCUCGUAUACAACAAGAGAAUCCUAAUAUGUCUGACGAGGAUAUCUUUCAGAAAGCACGCCGAAUAGUUAUAGGAACUCUUCAGAAUAUCAUUUUGUACGAGUAUAUUCCUAUAUUGUUGAACGAGGACGUGCCUCCUUACGCUGGAUACAAACCAGAUCUCCAUCCUGGUAUCAGUCACAUAUUUCAAAGCGCCGCCUUUAGAUUUGGACACACUCUGAUACCGCCUGGUAUAUACAGGCGCGAUGAGAGUUGCGAAUAUAGGAGAACCAAUACGGAUCAAGCAGCGAUACGACUGUGUUCCACCUGGUGGGACUCGAAUGAGGUCUUAACUAACAGUACCAUCGAGGAACUAAUCAUGGGUAUGAGUUCCCAGAUAUCUGAGAAAGAAGAUAAUCUUCUCGGUACCGAUAUUAGGAACAACCUUUUCGGCCCCAUGGAAUUCUCUCGCAGAGAUUUAGGUGCUCUGAAUAUCAUGCGUGGGAGGGACAACGGUCUUCCGGAUUACAACACUGCCAGAGCGCAUUUCAAACUGCCCCGUAGAAAAACAUGGAACGAAAUCAAUCCAGAAUUGUUCAACAAGAACCCUUCUCUGCUACGUACAUUAGUUGAGAUCCAUUCGAACAAUCUAAAUAAUGUAGACGUAUACGUUGGUGGAAUGUUAGAGUCCAGCGCUGGUCCAGGUGAACUGUUCUCAACGGUGAUUAAAGAACAGUUCCUUCGUUUGAGAGAUUCGGACAGGUUUUGGUUCGAGAAUUCAGAGACUGGGAUUUUUACCAGAGGUGAAAUCGAGGAGAUUCGUCGCGUUACUUUAUGGGAUGUAAUAGUAAACGCGACUGGAAUACCAUCGGAUGCUAUUCAGAUGAAUGUGUUCACAUGGGAGGAAGGAGACCCUUGCCCUCAACCUUAUCAGCUAAAUUCCACCAUGUUGGAGCCAUGCAUUCCAUUGCAACGUUACGAUUAUUUUGAGGGAAGCGAACUGGUGUACAUAUACGCCUGUAUUUUUCUCGGUUUCGUUCCAAUUCUCUGCGCCGGUGCCGGUUACGGCCUAGUCAAGCUCCAAAACCGGCGCAGAAGACGUUUAAAGAUCCUCCAAGAAGCGAUCCAAAAGCGAAACGACGGAAAAAUUUCAGUGGACAAGAUGAUCGUACGCGAAUGGUUGCACGCGAACCAUCGUCGUUUGGUCAAGGUGAAAUUCGGCCCGGAAGCUGCUUUGCACAUCGUCGAUCGUAAAGGGGAGAAACUGCGCACCUUCGAUUUCAACGAUGUGAACACGAUUACCAUGGAGGAGUCUCAGGAGAACGAGAAUGGGCAUCGGAAAGCAUUGGUAUUGUUACGAAUACCACGGGACUACGACCUUGUCCUUGAACUGGAUUCCUUGGCUUCGCGUAGAAAGUUUAUUGCGAAAUUGGAAGCAUUUCUAUCGUCCCAUAAGAAGCAUUUCACAAUGUCCCAAGUGAGUCGGGACAUAAUGCUGGCAAAAGCGGAAACGAAGGAGCGACGACAGAAGAAACUUGAACAGUUCUUCAGGGAAGCUUAUGCACUGACGUUUGGUCUGCGACCUGGUGAAAGGCGACGACGAUCCGAGGACAGCGACAGCGGCGAAGUGGUCACCGUGAUGAGGACGUCGCUUUCUAAAAGCGAGUUCGCCAGCGCGCUAGGCAUGCGGGCGGAUGCGGUCUUCGUGAAAAAAAUGUUUAACAUCGUUGAUAAAGACAGAGAUGGACGUAUUUCGUUUCAGGAAUUCCUCGAUACUGUUUUACUUUUCUCGCGAGGAAAAACCGAGGACAAACUGAGAAUCAUCUUCGACAUGUGCGACAAGGAUAGCAACGGAGUGAUCGACAAAGAAGAGCUAUCAGAGAUGCUUAGAUCCUUAGUAGAAAUCGCACGAACUACCAGUCUGUCUGACGAUCAUGUCACCGAGUUGAUCGACGGAAUGUUUCAAGAUGCUGGCCUAGAGAGGAAGGAUUACCUCACUUACAACGACUUCAAAUUGAUGAUGAAAGAGUACAAAGGCGAUUUCGUGGCGAUCGGUCUCGAUUGCAAAGGCGCGAAACAAAAUUUCCUCGACACGUCGACGAAUGUCGCUCGUAUGACGAGUUUCCAUAUCGAUCAACUUCCUCCAGAGGAUUCAAAGAGUUGGACACGCAAACAGUGGGACGCUGUGUCGACAUUCCUCGAGGAAAAUCGACAGAAUAUAUUUUACCUGUUCGUGUUUUACGUCACGACUAUCGCUCUUUUCGUCGAGAGAUUUAUCUAUUAUUCAUUUAUGGCUGAACAUACGGAUCUGAGACACAUAAUGGGUGUCGGAAUUGCCAUUACCAGAGGAUCUGCGGCUGCCCUGUCCUUUUGUUACAGUCUGCUACUUUUAACCAUGUCACGCAAUCUGCUGACAAAACUGAAAGAAUUCACCAUUCAACAGUACAUUCCUUUAGAUUCUCAUAUACAGUUCCAUAAAAUUGCAGCGUGUACCGCGCUGUUCUUUUCCGUUUUACAUACAGUGGGUCACAUGGUGAAUUUUUAUCAUAUCUCCACCCAGCCACUGGCUCAUCUUCGGUGUCUGACCAGUGAGAUCAGUUUUCCAAGCGAUGCUCGUUUGACGAUCUCGUUUUGGCUUUUCAAAACGGUAACAGGUUUGACCGGAAUCCUUCUGUUCAUCGUGAUGACGAUAAUCUUCGUCUUCGCUCAUCCUACUAUCCGUCAAAAAGCGUAUAAAUUCUUCUGGUCAACCCACAGUUUGUACGUUGUAUUAUACGCUUUGUGUUUGAUCCACGGUUUAGCUCGCUUAACGGGUUCGCCACGUUUCUGGAUAUUCUUUGUUGGUCCCGCCAUCAUUUACGCCCUCGACAAGGUAGUGAGUCUUCGAACCAAAUACAUGGCGUUGGACAUCAUUGAAACCGAGCUUUUACCAUCAGACGUGAUCAAAAUUAAGUUCUACAGACCUCCGAAUUUAAAGUACCUAUCUGGACAAUGGGUGCGUAUCUCGUGCACCGCCUUCAGGUCGAAUGAGUUUCAUUCUUUCACGUUAACUUCGGCACCGCACGAGAACUUCCUGUCGUGUCACAUCAAGGCGCAAGGACCUUGGACUUGGAAGCUGCGCAAUUAUUUCGAUCCUUGCAAUUAUAAUCCAGAGGAUGAGCAUCCGAAAAUCAGAAUAGAAGGUCCGUUUGGAGGUGGUAACCAAGACUGGUAUAAAUUCGAGGUCGCUGUGAUGGUCGGUGGUGGUAUCGGAGUCACUCCUUACGCGUCCAUGCUUAACGACCUCGUUUUUGGUACCUCUACCAACAGAUAUUCAGGUGUUGCUUGUAAAAAGGUUUAUUUCCUAUGGAUCUGUCCAUCGCACAAACACUUUGAGUGGUUCAUCGACGUGCUCAGGGACGUAGAGAGGAAGGAUGUAACGGACGUAUUAGAAAUUCAUAUAUUUAUCACGCAAUUUUUUCACAAGUUCGACUUACGUACUACCAUGCUGUACAUUUGCGAGAAUCAUUUUCAGAGGCUAUCUAAAAAAAGCAUAUUCACUGGGCUGAAAGCCAUCAAUCACUUUGGUCGGCCCGACAUGACUUCGUUUUUAAAGUUUGUUCAGAAGAAACAUAGUUAUGUCAGUAAAAUAGGAGUAUUUAGCUGCGGACCACGCCCCCUGACGAAGAGCGUGAUGUCAUCCUGUGACGAGGUGAAUAAAGGUCGUCGUUUACCGUACUUCAUUCAUCAUUUCGAAAACUUUGGCUAGUCUGAUCGAUGAACAGGAGAAGGACGAUGGACUCUAUCAUGAAUAUUCAUCUCUGGAACUCCUAGGAAACCUCGCUCUCCUUAGUUCUACGUAUAUUCUUCAGACAAUAAAAAUAGCUAUAUUUUACUCCUCUCCAUUUCUCCCAUAGGAGUUCUAGGGUUAACGAACAAUGAAACAGACUUGUGCGAGUG